CAAAUAAAACUCCAAGCGCACGUUCAUCCCUCUCUCGCCGUCCAUUCACCGUGACUCAUCGCGCCGGCGGCCGUCGCCGGCGCUGGUGUUGGCUUAUGCCUAACCACCACUACCAUCAGAUGUGCCGUGCCAACCCAAAUACGAACAUGGAAAUUGAAUUAUGAGACAGUUCCUGUACCGGUUGAAUCGAACCACUAAAUGGAAGAACCCUAACGAUCUACUAGUUAAAUUAAAUUGUGCUUUGUGCAAAUCAAUUCCUAGUACUACGGGGCUUCCAUUUCCUACCUCAGAUACUACAAAUUAGUGUUCUUGAAGCAAGAAAAUGCCACUGAAUAAGAAAUGACAUACCGAAGAAGAUGAUCGAAGAAUCCACCGAGUGUAUGGUGCAUUUCAAUGCCUGUCUGGUUGGCUAGUGUAGCAGGUAAGCAUGGUUCAGGACUUAUGUGUUGCUGCUUUGACCUAUUGCAGGUGUUCAUAUGCAUGAUAGUUACGACAUGUAUGGUGUGUCAUAGCAUAAUUCUUGACUUGGUUCUACAGGUACUUGAUGAAUAAGGGCUCAUGCUUGGUUCCAUGGUAAGGCAUAAUUUGGAUCCUUUACCAUUAUGCUCAUAUGCUGCAAAAAAAGGGGUUCUGCAGUGGGAUAUUUGCUCAUGAUGCUUCCUUGUUCAUGGCUUCCAGUUUGUACAUAGAAAGUGGUGGUGUCCAAGAAUUAACUCAAGUGCUUGUUAUGUUGAAACUGCUGCUGCGUCAAGGUGAUGCACUCAAUCUGCUGAUGUUUCCUUGUGUCUCACUAUUGUUUUAUUUCAGUAGGGUCACAUUCUAUUGAUAUGAUCACGACCUUUUCCAAUGAUUUAUGUGGGAUAUGGCUGCAAACUGUUGCAUAUAGGUUGAGUCUCAAGAGUUAUGAGCAUGGUUCAACCUGAGUUGGAGACAUGUUUGGUUUUAAGUCUAAUGUUAUGCUUCACACUGCACCAGUCUUGGCAUGUUAUAUCUCAAAGGGCAGCAUUAUGUACUGCCAAGGUUUGCACCAGGUGGUCACAACUCAACCAUGUUUUGGAUUGGUCUGGCAUCAUGGCUUUGAGCUUUGCAUUAACCUUCCGUUGUAGGGAAAAUCUCUGUGACCUUGACCCUGGGUUUGUUGCCUUGCAAAUCAAAGUUUCACUUGCUUCACCAUUUGACUAGCUUUUGGUUGUGGGUUGGCUUUUCUGCAGGAUAGGUUAUGGUUGCUGCAGCAGGAUUAUAGAGGUUGCAUGUUGCAAUGGUCUGAUAUUAAAGAUGUUGAACCAUUUGGAUGCCUGAUUGUCAUGAUGAUGUAGCAGUACUAACUGUGUUUAAGAUGGCUAUGGCCUAUUUUUAUUGAUGGACAAAAUGCCACUCAAAGGCUCAAGAUGAUGCAGGCAUAUGGUUGCAAUCAGUCAUGGGAUGCUACAGGGUUGUUGAACAUGUACACUGCAGCAAGCCAGGGCAAUAACUGAUGUAUCAUACAUUACCUUAUGAUGGGUCCAAGCUUUUCAUUGUAGCAUGAAAUUGAAUUUGUAUUAGGCAUUAGAUGAUGGAUUUAUGAUGCUGCAGCGUGCUGUAUUAAGAUCUGGUUCAGGGCAAACUAAGGCCAAGACUUGAUGAGCCAACAUGUCAAACAAUGCUUGGUAUGCAUGAGCUAGAAACAAAACCGUUUACUUGGAAAUGAAGCAACAAAAAGAUAACACAACCAAUCAUGGAAAUUGGAUGAAGAAUCAAGGCAAAGGCUAGAUUAGGUUUUUUGGAUGACCAGAACUGGGGAGGUUGACUUUGGUCAAAGUUGACCAAAAAGUCAACCGUUGACCAAAGUCAACAAAAUGUCAAAAUUCAAAUUUCUUUGUAUUUUCUUUAUAAAUGGACAUUGAAUUAGUGGUUAGGGUGAAAUUUAGGGCAUUAGGGUUUUGGGCUGACUUUGGUCAAAGUUGACCAAAAAGUCAACUGUUGACCAAAGUCAACAAUUGGUCAAAAAUAUCAAAUUUUGUAUUUUGUUAUGUAGAAUCAUAUGUAAUGGUUUAAAAUGACAUGGAAUGAACUGAAAUGGAUUAACAAAUGGUUUUAUGUUA
Lathyrus oleraceus (garden pea) is the source of this 2081-nucleotide RNA transcript. RefSeq lists it as uncharacterized. The transcript has 4 exons. NCBI's taxonomy places the organism in Eukaryota, Viridiplantae, Streptophyta, Magnoliopsida, Fabales, Fabaceae. The record is from RefSeq and is a predicted model, not a curated record.